AUGCACGCUGGCGGCGUGCCUAAUACAUGCCAGUCGAGCGAACGGACGAGAAGCUUGCUUUUCUGAUGUUAGCGGCGGACGGGUGAGUAACACGUGGAUAACCUACCUAUAAGACUGGGAUAACUUCGGGAAACCGGAGCUAAUAUCGGAUAAUAUUUUGAACCGCAUGGUUCAAAAGUGAAAGACGGUCUUGCUGUCACUUAUAGAUGGAUCCGCGCUGCAUUAGCUAGUUGGUAAGGUAACGGCUUACCAAGGCAACGAUGCAUAGCCGACCUGAGAGGGUGAUCGGCCACACUGGAACUGAGACACGGUCCAGACUCCUACGGGAGGCAGCAGUAGGGAAUCUUCCGCAAUGGGCGAAAGCCUGACGGAGCAACGCCGCGUGAGUGAUGAAGGUCUUCGGAUCGUAAAACUCUGUUAUUAGGGAAGAACAUAUGUGUAAGUAACUGUGCACAUCUUGACGGUACCUAAUCAGAAAGCCACGGCUAACUACGUG
RNAcentral lists this ribosomal RNA (496 nucleotides) under uncultured bacterium. Its description in RNAcentral is "partial 16S ribosomal RNA". It matches the Rfam family "Bacterial small subunit ribosomal RNA", at positions 29 to 507 of the family's 1533-position model. The record is from RNAcentral.